UCAGUUGUGAAAGUUUGCGGCUCAACCGUAAAAUUGCAGUUGAUACUGGAUAUCUUGAGUGCAGUUGAGGCAGGCGGAAUUCGUGGUGUAGCGGUGAAAUGCUUAGAUAUCACGAAGAACUCCGAUUGCGAAGGCAGCCUGCUAAGCUGCAACUGACAUUGAGGCUCGAAAGUGUGGGUAUCGAACAGGAUUAGAUACCCUGGUAGUCCACACGGUAAACGAUGAAUACUCGCUGUUUGCGAUAUACUGCAAGCGGCCAAGCGAAAGCGUUAAGUAUUCCACCUGGGGAGUACGCCGGCAACGGUGAAACUCAAAGGAAUUGACGGGGGCCCGCACAAGCGGAGGAACAUGUGGUUUAAUUCGAUGAUACGCGAGGAACCUUACCCGGGCUUAAAUUGCAGAUGAAUUACGGUGAAAGCCGUAAGCCGCAAGGCAUCUGUGAAGGUGCUGCAUGGUUGUCGUCAGCUCGUGCCGUGAGGUGUCGGCUUAAG
This 491-nucleotide ribosomal RNA is filed under the name uncultured bacterium. Its description in RNAcentral is "bacterial SSU rRNA". It matches the Rfam family "Bacterial small subunit ribosomal RNA", at positions 588 to 1084 of the family's 1533-position model. The record is from RNAcentral.